AUGAUAGAACAUGUUAACAAGGCAGCCCUCCUCCUCAAAAAUUUGUCGGAAGCUCAAAACAUCAUCAAGUUCAUAUGCAAGAAACCCCCAAAAGAUGGUGAUCUUCAUUGUAUUUAUCGAGUAAAGCUUGAACCAAUAGCUUCCUAUUGCUGCUUUCAUAAUUGCAUUUGGACGACAUCUUCCUCGUGCCAUCAGGCCAGUAAAGGCGAUAUCGUACCGCAAAUUCCUCUGGCGAAAUCUUAUCUUUGCGCCUGUGGAGAGCGCAGGCCAUCAAGAUGGCUUUUGAUGGCAUCUUCAGCUUCCUCCAAGCUCCGGAAUGGCCCCCCCAGACAAGGAUACGUGUGGAAAGAACCCCCCAGAUCAAUUCUGAUGAAAAGCUCUAUAGGCCAACCAGAAGGUUUUCGAGCUGAGAUGAGUGGAGACGAGUGCGUUGAUGUUGGUGAGACGUCAUGA
Molecule: ribosomal RNA, 453 nt
Filed under: Triticum aestivum (bread wheat)
Lineage: Eukaryota; Viridiplantae; Streptophyta; Magnoliopsida; Poales; Poaceae
Description: partial small subunit ribosomal RNA
Source: RNAcentral